GGCGAAGUUACGUCCAGUUUCUGCCCCAGGAAAAAAGGUUAUUCACUGGUUGAAGAGCAGUAUCUAUCAUGGACAAAAGCUUCCUUCAUGAGAAGAUGUUUUUAUCAAGCUCAACUUGGAUUGUCAUAUUUGCAUCACUUCUUCCUUUUCUAAGGUUAGUCACUGGUUGAAGUGCAGUAUCUAUCAUGGACAAAGCUUCCCUCGUGAGAAGAUGUUUUGAUCAAGCUCAACUUGGAUUGUCAUAUUUGGGACAGCUUUGCAUCACUCCUUCCUUUUCUAAGGUUAUCCACCGAUUGAAGAGCAGUAUCUAUCAUGGACAAAAGCUUCCUUCAUGAGAAGAUGUGUUUUAUCAAUCUCAACUUGGACUGUCAUAUUUGGGACAGCUUCGCAUCACUCCUUCUUUUUCUAAGGUUAUUCACUGGUUGAAGAGCAGUAUCUUUCACGGACAAAAGCUUCCUUCAUGAGAAGAUGUUUUUUAUCAAGCUCAACUUGGAUUGUCAUAUUUGGGACAGCUUUGCAUCACUUCUUCCUUUUCCAAGGUUAUUCACUGGUUGAAGAGCAGUAUCUAUCACGGUCAAAAGCUUCCUUCAUGAGAAGAUGUUUUAUAUUAAGCUCAACUUGGAUUGUCAUAUUUGGGACAGCUUUGCAUCACUCCUUCCUUUUCUAAGGUUAUUCACUGGUUGAAGAGCAGUAUCUAUCAUGGACGAAAGCUUCCUUCAUGGGAAGAUGGUUUUAUCAAGUUCAACUGGGAUUGUCAUUUAUAGGACAGCUUUGCAUCAAUCCUUCCUUUUCUAAAGGUUAUUCACUGGUUGAAGUGCAGAAUCUAUCAUGGACAAAAGCUUCCUUCAUGAGAAGAUGUUUUAUCAAGCUCAACUUGGAUUGUCAUAUUUGGGACAGCUUUGCAUCACUCCUUACUUUUCUAAGGUUAUUCACUGGUUGAAGUGCAGUAUCUAUCAUGGACAAAGCUUCCUUCGUGAGAAGAUGUUUUUAUCAAGCUCAACUUGGAUUGUCAUAUUUGGGACAGCUUUGCAUCACUCUUUCCUUUUCUAAGGUCAUUCACUGGUUGAAGAGCAGUAUCUAUCAUGGACAAAAGCAUUCCUUCAUGAAAAGAUGUUUUAAUCGAGCUCAACUUUGAUUGCCAUAUUUCGGACAGCUUUGCAUCACUCCUUCACUUUCUAAGGUCAUUUACUGGUUGAAGAGCAGUAUCUAUCAUGGACAAAAGCUUCCUUCAUGAGAAGAUGUUUUUAUCAAGCUCAACUUGGAUUGUCAUACUUGGGACAGCUUUGCAUCACUCCUUCACUUUCUAAGCCACUGCUGGACGGAAUCAUCAGCCAUCAUGAAACCUUGAUCCAAUCCAGCUAAGGCAGAUCCCAGGCUUCCAUGGAUACUAUCUAUCGAGGACCAUGGGUACAAUCUUUUUGAGCCAUCAUGGAGCUGACUAUUGAGAACUGAGAAGAUGUCGGCCAGUUUUUCAGUCUGAAUGGCCAUCUCUGCAGUAAGGACAACAAAGUUGGACUGUUAUACAAGAACCAUUGGUGCAAGGACCAUGGGUACAAUCUUCUUGCACCAUCAUGGAGCUAACAUUAAAGAACUGAGAAGACCAAGGAUCAAUGGAGUCAUCUUGUACAGAUUCUUGUAAUGAAAAGACUGCUUUAGCGUCAAACUACAACUUUCCCUUCACAUGGACCAUGGGUACAAUCUUUAUGCGCCAUCAUGGAGCUUACUUCAAAGAACUGAGAAGACCAAGGAUCAAUGGAGUCAUCUUGUACAGAUUCUUGUAAUGAAAAGACUGCUUUCACUUUAUCGUGGACAAAUGCUUAACAUCAAACCUCAACUUCCCUUCUCAUGGUAAUUCACUUCUGUUCAUACGUCUAACAACUUCUCUCCUUACAUCUGAUAUCUUCUCUCCAUACGUCUAGCAACUUCCCUUCUUACGUCUAAUUUACUUCUCUUCAUACUUCUAACAACUUCUCUCCAUACGUCUAACAACUUCUGUUCAUACGUCUAACAACUUCUCUUCAUACGUCUAACAACUUCUCUCAAUACGUCUAACAACUUCUCUUCAUACGUCUAAUGUACUUCUCUUCAUACUUCUAACAACUUCUCUCCAUACGUCUAACAACUUCUCUUCAUACGUCUAACAACUUCUCUCAAUACGUCUAACAACUUCCCUUCUUACGUCUAAUUUACUUCUCUUCAUACUUCUAACAACUUCUCUCCAUACGUCUAACAACUUCUGUUCAUACGUCUAACAACUUCUCUUCAUACGUCUAACAACU
Molecule: long non-coding RNA, 2279 nt
Organism: Asterias rubens (European starfish)
Lineage: Eukaryota; Metazoa; Echinodermata; Asteroidea; Forcipulatida; Asteriidae
Exons: 15
Source: RefSeq, a predicted model, not a curated record